AGCACAUCCCUGCUCUGCCCCUGCCUCAUGCCCAGGUGUUGCUGGGACAGAAUCCCAGGCCAGCCAUGAGCUGCAGGUUGGAGUCAGCCAGGACACCUGGCUCAAGAUGCCUCCAGGUGUAUCCCAUCCCAUAAACACCACACUCAGCAUAAAGGGUGAAGUUUGCAGAGGAGAAAGUUCUUCCUGCUUGGACUCCUGCUCCUGUGCUGGCUCCUCCUGACCAUGCUCCUUUUCCUGAGGACUUGCCUCUAGUUUGCCCAUGGAAAGAUCCUUCUCUGACUCUCAGCCCCAGCUGCACAGCACCAAGCAGGGAUCCCCAGGUGAUGCCAGAGUGGAAAAAGCUUCAUUUAUUCAGCACUAAAUAGGCACCCUUGGGGGGUGGGGGGAUCACUCCCAAAGUCCCAGGGGGUCCCGAGGUGAGCCGAAGUUUUUGUGGCUAUUAAUACAGGCAGGAUCUUUCACUAAGUCACACCUGCCUGAUGCAAUUAUUCCUUCUGCCUACAUUCAUGGGCUGUGACUCACUGGAGUGUUUGGUCAUCCACACCUGCACAGACAGUCAGGCCCCUCUCACCUGCUUAAGACCCAAACUCCCUUUCUUCUCUGUCUUUAACUGGCACAUUGACUGAAUGAAAAGCUCAAAGACAGCACAAGCUUAUUCUACAGCUUCUGAGAAUCUUUGUAGGUAUUCCAAAGCAGGAGUGAGCUCGUGGGAAACAAAACCUUGGUUUUGAAAGGUGAGGUUGAGGAAUAGGCUUUAAGGCCUGAUUUUUGAGGUGACACAGGCAGAGGAAGGCUCUGAGGGGGGCUGCAGCUCCCAGAGAGCAGAGGCUGAGCGGUGAGGGCUCUGCUCCUGCCCAGGUGAUGCCUGCUGCCCCAGCAUUCCAGAGGAACCAUGCCCUGCAGCCUUCCUGCUUCUAGGUCAGUCCUCACGCUUUGGGGUUGGAAUGCUGCCACUGCCAAGGCUGGGUCUCUGCAGAGGGCCAGCUCUGGGGUCUUUUCCGUGGAGGAGGCAAGGCAAAAGCAGCAAAACUGAGGCAGACCGGUGAAAGAGGCUCCUUCUGCCCAUUUGUGGCCCUAGCAAAGGUGAU
This is a long non-coding RNA of Pogoniulus pusillus (Red-fronted tinkerbird), 1088 nucleotides long. RefSeq lists it as uncharacterized. The transcript has 2 exons. The record is from RefSeq and is a predicted model, not a curated record. NCBI's taxonomy places the organism in Eukaryota, Metazoa, Chordata, Aves, Piciformes, Lybiidae.